This 497-nucleotide ribosomal RNA is filed under the name uncultured bacterium. RNAcentral describes it as "partial 16S ribosomal RNA". It matches the Rfam family "Bacterial small subunit ribosomal RNA", at positions 28 to 507 of the family's 1533-position model. The record is from RNAcentral.
GAUGAACGCUGGCGGCGUGCCUAAUACAUGCAAGUCGAGCGAACGGACGAGAAGCUUGCUUUUCUGAUGUUAGCGGCGGACGGGUGAGUAACACGUGGAUAACCUACCUAUAAGACUGGGAUAACUUCGGGAAACCGGAGCUAAUACCGGAUAAUAUUUUGAACCGCAUGGUUCAAAAGUGAAUGACGGUCUUGCUGUCACUUAUAGAUGGAUCCGCGCUGCAUUAGCUAGUUGGUAAGGUAACGGCUUACCAAGGCAACGAUGCAUAGCCGACCUGAGAGGGUGAUCGGCCACACUGGAACUGAGACACGGUCCAGACUCCUACGGGAGGCAGCAGUAGGGAAUCUUCCGCAAUGGGCGAAAGCCUGACGGAGCAACGCCGCGUGAGUGAUGAAGGUCUUCGGAUCGUAAAACUCUGUUAUUAGGGAAGAACAUAUGUGUAAGUAACUGUGCACAUCUUGACGGUACCUAAUCAGAAAGCCACGGCUAACUACGUG